GAGCACACGGAGGAUGCCUAGGCGCUAGGAGCCGAUGAAGGACGUGGCGAACAACGAAACUGCCUCGGGGAGCUGUAAGCAAGCUUUGAUCCGGGGAUGUCCGAAUGGGGAAACCCAGCUGGGGUAAUUUCCAGUUACUCACAACUGAAUACAUAGGUUGUGUAGAGGCAUACCAGGGGAACUGAAACAUCUAAGUACCUUGAGGAAGAGAAAACAAUAGUGAUUCCGUCAGUAGCGGCGAGCGAACGCGGA
This 252-nucleotide ribosomal RNA is filed under the name Paenibacillus xylanilyticus. Its description in RNAcentral is "partial 23S ribosomal RNA". It matches the Rfam family "Bacterial large subunit ribosomal RNA", at positions 15 to 263 of the family's 2925-position model. The record is from RNAcentral. Lineage: Bacteria; Bacillati; Bacillota; Bacilli; Caryophanales; Paenibacillaceae.